AGUGAACGCUGGCGGUAGGCCUAACACAUGCAAGUCGAACGGCAGCACAGUAAGAGCUUGCUCUUACGGGUGGCGAGUGGCGGACGGGUGAGGAAUACAUCGGAAUCUACUUUUUCGUGGGGGAUAACGUAGGGAAACUUACGCUAAUACCGCAUACGACCUACGGGUGAAAGCAGGGGAUCUUCGGACCUUGCGCGAUUGAAUGAGCCGAUGUCGGAUUAGCUAGUUGGCGGGGUAAAGGCCCACCAAGGCGACGAUCCGUAGCUGGUCUGAGAGGAUGAUAGGCCCCACUGGAACUGAGACACGGUCAAGACUCCUACGGGAGGCAGCAGUGGGGAAUAUUGGACAAUGGGCGCAAGCAUGACCCAGCCAUACCGCGUGGGUGAAGAAGGCCUUCGGGUUGUAAAGCCCUUUUGUUGGGAAAGAAAAGCAGCAGGUUAAUACCCCGCUGUUCUGACGGUACCCAAAGAAUAAGCACCGGCUAACUUCGUG
RNAcentral lists this ribosomal RNA (492 nucleotides) under uncultured bacterium. RNAcentral's name for it is "partial 16S ribosomal RNA". It matches the Rfam family "Bacterial small subunit ribosomal RNA", at positions 29 to 507 of the family's 1533-position model. The record is from RNAcentral.